GGCGGACGGGUGAGUAACACGUGGGCAACCUGCCUAUAAGACUGGGAUAACUUCGGGAAACCGGAGCUAAUACCGGAUACGUUCUUUUCUCGCAUGAGAGAAGAUGGAAAGACGGUUUACGCUGUCACUUAUAGAUGGGCCCGCGGCGCAUUAGCUAGUUGGUGAGGUAAUGGCUCACCAAGGCGACGAUGCGUAGCCGACCUGAGAGGGUGAUCGGCCACACUGGGACUGAGACACGGCCCAGACUCCUACGGGAGGCAGCAGUAGGGAAUCUUCCGCAAUGGACGAAAGUCUGACGGAGCAACGCCGCGUGAACGAAGAAGGCCUUCGGGUCGUAAAGUUCUGUUGUUAGGGAAGAACAAGUACCAGAGUAACUGCUGGUACCUUGACGGUACCUAACCAGAAAGCCACGGCUAACUACGUGCCAGCAGCCGCGGUAAUACGUAGGUGGCAAGCGUUGUCCGGAAUUAUUGGGCGUAAAGCGCGCGCAGGUGGUUCCUUAAGUCUGAUGUGAAAGCCCACGGCUCAACCGUGGAGGGUCAUUGGAAACUGGGGAACUUGAGUGCAGAAGAGGAAAGUGGAAUUCCAAGUGUAGCGGUGAAAUGCGUAGAGAUUUGGAGGAACACCAGU
This 630-nucleotide ribosomal RNA is filed under the name Bacillus sp. 66(2013). RNAcentral's name for it is "bacterial SSU rRNA". It matches the Rfam family "Bacterial small subunit ribosomal RNA", at positions 97 to 713 of the family's 1533-position model. Lineage: Bacteria; Bacillati; Bacillota; Bacilli; Caryophanales; Bacillaceae. The record is from RNAcentral.